This is a small nuclear RNA of Oryctolagus cuniculus (rabbit), 112 nucleotides long. Its record names the gene U2. It matches the Rfam family "U2 spliceosomal RNA". From Rfam's summary of the family: U2 is a small nuclear RNA (snRNA) component of the spliceosome (involved in pre-mRNA splicing). The record is from Ensembl. NCBI's taxonomy places the organism in Eukaryota, Metazoa, Chordata, Mammalia, Lagomorpha, Leporidae.
AUUGCUUCUCGGCCUUUCAGCCAAGAUCAAGUGUAGUAUCUGUUCUUAUCAGUUUAAUAUCUGAUGUGUCCUCUAUCCAACGGGAGAGGGUAAGGAAAGGGGCUAAAUUCAU